GACGAACGCUGGCGGCGUGCUUAACACAUGCAAGUCGAACGGUGAUCUUGGGAGCUUGCUCCUGGGUGAGCAGUGGCGAACGGGUGAGUAACACGUGAGUAACCUGCCCCUGACUCUGGAAUAAGCGCUGGGAACGGCGUCUAAUACCGGAUACGAGACGCAACCGCAUGGUUAGUGUCUGGAAAGUUUUUCGGUCUGGGAUGGACUCGCGGCCUAUCAGCUUGUUGGUGAGGUAACGGCUCACCAAGGCAAUGACGGGUAGCCGGCCUGAGAGGGCGAUCGGCCACACUGGGACUGAGACACGGCCCAG
RNAcentral lists this ribosomal RNA (310 nucleotides) under uncultured Knoellia sp. Its description in RNAcentral is "bacterial SSU rRNA". It matches the Rfam family "Bacterial small subunit ribosomal RNA", at positions 28 to 334 of the family's 1533-position model. The record is from RNAcentral. Lineage: Bacteria; Bacillati; Actinomycetota; Actinomycetes; Micrococcales; Intrasporangiaceae.